UGGGGAAUUUUGGACAAUGGGCGCAAGCCUGAUCCAGCAAUGCCGCGUGCAGGAUGAAGGCCUUCGGGUUGUAAACUGCUUUUGUACGGAACGAAACGGCGAGCUCUAAUACAGUUUGCUAAUGACGGUACCGUAAGAAUAAGCACCGGCUAACUACGUGCCAGCAGCCGCGGUAAUACGUAGGGUGCAAGCGUUAAUCGGAAUUACUGGGCGUAAAGCGUGCGCAGGCGGUUAUGUAAGACAGAUGUGAAAUCCCCGGGCUUAACCUGGGAACUGCAUUUGUGACUGCAUAGCUAGAGUACGGUAGAGGGGGAUGGAAUUCCGCGUGUAGCAGUGAAAUGCGUAGAUAUGCGGAGGAACACCGAUGGCGAAGGCAAUCCCCUGGACCUGUACUGACGCUCAUACACGAAAGCGUGGGGAGCAAACA
RNAcentral lists this ribosomal RNA (427 nucleotides) under uncultured bacterium. RNAcentral's name for it is "partial 16S ribosomal RNA". It matches the Rfam family "Bacterial small subunit ribosomal RNA", at positions 355 to 774 of the family's 1533-position model. The record is from RNAcentral.